AGCAAUCAAAGUCUGGACCACCAAGUACUCCCUCCCUUUCAGAAACCGAAAUUCAAAAGCAAGUGGAAACUCUCAAGAAGCAGAUAAGGUCCCUCAAAAACAAAAUAGACAGAGGAAAUGUCAAGAUGUCCACAGUGUGUGAAUCGUACACCAAUUAUUUUGAGCAAUAUCAAGAAUAUGAUUCGUUUCUUACACCCCCUGAGCAUUCAAACCCUUGGAUAUCAGAUAGCACAGAAGCUUGGGAAAUGGAAAAACAAAC
Long non-coding RNA from Stegodyphus dumicola, 259 nucleotides. The record is from RefSeq and is a predicted model, not a curated record. NCBI's taxonomy places the organism in Eukaryota, Metazoa, Arthropoda, Arachnida, Araneae, Eresidae.